UGAGGAAUAUUGCGCAAUGGAGGAAACUCUGACGCAGCCAUACCGCGUGCAGGAUGACAGUCCUACGGAUUGUAAACUGCUUUUAUAUGGGAAGAAACCCCGGAACGUGUUCCGGGCUGACGGUACCAUAAGAAUAAGGACCGGCUAACUCCGUGCCAGCAGCCGCGGUAAUACGGAGGGUCCAAGCGUUAUCCGGAUUUAUUGGGUUUAAAGGGUCCGCAGGCGGGAUUCUAAGUCAGUGGUGAAAUCCUACAGCUCAACUGUAGAACUGCCAUUGAUACUGGUAUCCUUGAGUGUAGUUGAAGUAAGUGGAACGUGUUAAGUAGCGGUGAAAUGCAUAGAUAUAACACAGAACACCAAAAGCGAAGGCAGCUUACUAAACUAUUACUGACGCUCAUGGACGAAAGCGUGGGGAGCGAACAGG
Molecule: ribosomal RNA, 424 nt
Filed under: uncultured bacterium
Lineage: Bacteria
Description: bacterial SSU rRNA
Rfam family: Bacterial small subunit ribosomal RNA
Source: RNAcentral